Molecule: ribosomal RNA, 426 nt
Filed under: uncultured bacterium
Lineage: Bacteria
Description: bacterial SSU rRNA
Rfam family: Bacterial small subunit ribosomal RNA
Source: RNAcentral
AAUCAACGCUGGCGGCGUGCCUAACACAUGCAAGUCGAGCGAGAAAGGGGAGCAAUCCCUGAGUACAGCGGCGUACGGGUGAGUAACACGUGGGUGAUCUACCUUCUAGUGUGGAAUAACCCUGGGAAACCGGGGCUAAUACCGCAUAAGCCUGUGAAGGGAAAGCAGCAAUGCGCUGGAAGAGGAGCCCGCGGCCGAUUAGCUAGUUGGUGAGGUAACGGCCCACCAAGGCGAUGAUCGGUAGCCGGCCUGAGAGGGCACACGGCCACACUGGCACUGAAACACGGGCCAGACUCCUACGGGAGGCAGCAGUGGGGAAUCUUGCACAAUGGAGGCAACUCUGAUGCAGCGACGCCGCGUGAGCGAUGAAGCCCUUGGGGUGUAAAGCUCUUUCGGCAGGGACGAUAAUGACGGUACCUGAAGAAG